AAACUGGGAUUAGAUACCCCACUAUGCCUAGCCGUAAACCCUAAACUACUACUAAAUCGCCAGGGAACUACGAGCAAAGCUUAAAACCCAAAGGACUUGACGGUACCCCAUAUCCCCCUAGAGGAGCCUGUCCUAUAAUCGAUACUCCACGUUAAACCUCACCAUUUCUAGUUUAUCAGCCUGUAUACCUCCGUCGUCAGCUUACCGUGUGAACGACCCCAGUGAGCUUAAUGGUUCUACACCAAUACGUCAGGUCAAGGUGCAGCAAAUGAAAUGGGAACAGAUGGGCUACACUUUUUAAUUUAAAAAAAACGAAAGACUUUAUGAAACCUAGUCAGAAGGCGGAUUUAGAAGUAAGGAGAAAUCAGAACAUUCCCCUUAACCCGGCGCUGGGGUGUGUACACACCGCCCGUCACCCUCA
RNAcentral lists this ribosomal RNA (421 nucleotides) under Gastrotheca griswoldi (Griswold's marsupial frog). RNAcentral describes it as "partial 12S ribosomal RNA". It matches the Rfam family "Bacterial small subunit ribosomal RNA", at positions 769 to 1405 of the family's 1533-position model. The record is from RNAcentral. Lineage: Eukaryota; Metazoa; Chordata; Amphibia; Anura; Hemiphractidae.